This is a non-coding RNA of Arachis ipaensis, 122 nucleotides long. The record is from RefSeq and is a predicted model, not a curated record. Lineage: Eukaryota; Viridiplantae; Streptophyta; Magnoliopsida; Fabales; Fabaceae.
UUAGCAUCCUCCUCAGCCUUUUCCUCCUGCUCAGGCUGAUUGCAAAUCUUUUGGAUUGCACUUCAUGGUCAGGGGCUGGACCAGGGCUGAUGGACGAUGUUACUCAAGGUGCUCUUCAAGUA